CGGGGGAGGCCGGAUCCUGGGCUGUGUCCCGGCGCCCUGUGCUCCGGAGCCUGCGCUGUUGGAUUUGCGCUCCCGCCCCGCAGCCCCCU
RNAcentral lists this microRNA precursor (89 nucleotides) under Canis lupus familiaris (dog). RNAcentral describes it as "mir-8799 microRNA precursor family". It matches the Rfam family "mir-8799 microRNA precursor family". The record is from Rfam by way of RNAcentral. RNAcentral also lists the same sequence under 1 other name. Lineage: Eukaryota; Metazoa; Chordata; Mammalia; Carnivora; Canidae.